AGAAGCAAGGUAGCAGACAAAUUUGCCACAGAGAACAGCACCAACCUUAAAACGUCACUCAGCUCAGGCGUAAAAUCAUGGGUCUCGGAGCCCUACGAUCCAUAAUUCGACCCGUAUCGCGGACUCUCUUGUCAACCCGUACAACCUUUGCUCUUGCUCCCCAACGAAUCGCGGCCAUCUUCUCUCCCUUUCCGGCAUCUGAGCUCCAUUUCCGCCACCACUUGGGCCCCUUCCACCGGAAUCUUCCAUUCAAUCCUUCAUCUUCCGCUUUCCACAGCUUACGCUUAACGGACACCCGAUACCCCAAACGACGCCCCAGUGACAAGCCUCGUCGUAAAAGAGCUCAAUUAAAACCCCAGGGCCUUAUGCUUGGGUGAAAUAUGUACCUGGAGAGCCAAUAGCUGCAAAACAACCCAAUGAAGGAAGUGUGAAGCGAAGAAAUGAGAAAAAGCGGAUUAAGCUGCACCGUGCGUUCAUACUGGCUGAAAAGAAGAAGCGUAAAGCUCAGUUACAAGAGGCCAAAAGAAAGAAAAUGAUAAAGAGGGUGGAGCGGAAAAUGGCUGCAGUAGCAAGGGAAAGAGCAUGGGCACAAAGGUUGGUAGAGCUUCAGCAGAUUGAGGAAGAGAAGAAGGCAGCAAUGGCUUGACAUUUUUUGGUUGCAAUUCUAGCAUUUUGUAGUUUUUGUGCCGGGAAGAAGAUAAAAGUUGAAAUUGCUUUUAUCAGUGUAAGCUUUACUUUACAUACUACCUACUCUAGUUGUGGUUCAUGACUCCUUUAUUUUGACAUCUGUUGUCCUUUUCUUUCUUUUUACCCUUGUUUUGGAUUUUCAACAGCUAGUACAAGCUCUUAUUCAUAAUUCAAAGAGCAUGUUGCUCGUCAUCUCCAGUGAUCUUCCUGCAAGUGUAUUAAAAAAUUCUGUAAAAAUCUAUUGUCUUCGUCAUUUUAUAAAUUGUUGUUCCCUAAAAAA
Coffea arabica (coffee) is the source of this 967-nucleotide non-coding RNA. NCBI's taxonomy places the organism in Eukaryota, Viridiplantae, Streptophyta, Magnoliopsida, Gentianales, Rubiaceae. The record is from RefSeq and is a predicted model, not a curated record.